This 77-nucleotide transfer RNA is filed under the name Longibacter salinarum. Its description in RNAcentral is "tRNA-Met". It matches the Rfam family "tRNA". Rfam says of the family: Transfer RNA (tRNA) molecules are approximately 80 nucleotides in length. Their secondary structure includes four short double-helical elements and three loops (D, anti-codon, and T loops). Lineage: Bacteria; Pseudomonadati; Rhodothermota; Rhodothermia; Rhodothermales; Salisaetaceae. The record is from RNAcentral.
GGGCCCGUAGCUCAGUUGGUUAGAGCAGUCGACUCAUAAUCGAUCGGUCGUGGGUUCAAGUCCCGCCGGGCCCACCC